This 331-nucleotide unclassified non-coding RNA is filed under the name soil metagenome. RNAcentral describes it as "partial contains 5.8S ribosomal RNA, internal transcribed spacer 2, and large subunit ribosomal RNA". The stretch from base 1 to 120 matches the Rfam family "5.8S ribosomal RNA", at positions 35 to 154 of the family's 154-position model. The record is from RNAcentral.
GAUGAAGAACGUAGCGAAAUGCGAUACGUAAUGUGAAUUGCAGAUUUCAGUGAAUCAUCGAAUCUUUGAACGCACAUUGCGCCCGCCAGUAUUCUGGCGGGCAUGCCUGUUCGAGCGUCAUUUCAACCAUCAAGCGCCUCGCUUGUGUUGGGGCCCUGCGGCUGCCGCAGGCCCCUAAAUCCAGUGGCGGGCUCGUCGUCGUACCGAGUGCAGUAAACAUCCUCGCACAGGGAACCCGACGGGUGCCGGCCGUGAAACCCCCCCUCCUCAAGGUUGACCUCGGAUCAGGUAGGAAUACCCGCUGAACUUAAGCAUAUCAAUAAGCGGAGGA